Molecule: ribosomal RNA, 236 nt
Filed under: uncultured bacterium
Lineage: Bacteria
Description: partial 16S ribosomal RNA
Rfam family: Bacterial small subunit ribosomal RNA
Source: RNAcentral
CGGGACGGGUGAGUAACGCGUGGGUAACCUGCCUCAUACAGGGGGAUAACAGUUGGAAACGGCUGCUAAUACCGCAUAAGCGCACAGUAUCGCAUGAUACAGUGUGAAAAACUCCGGUGGUACAAGAUGGACCCGCGUCUGAUUAGCUAGUUGGUAAGGUAAGGGCUUACCAAGGCGACGAUCAGUAGCCGACCUGAGAGGGUGACCGGCCACAUUGGGACUGAGACACGGCCCAA